This 304-nucleotide ribosomal RNA is filed under the name uncultured bacterium. RNAcentral describes it as "partial 16S ribosomal RNA". It matches the Rfam family "Bacterial small subunit ribosomal RNA", at positions 506 to 807 of the family's 1533-position model. The record is from RNAcentral.
CAGCAGCAGCCGCGGUAAUACGAAGGGUGCAAGCGUUAAUCGGAAUUACUGGGCGUAAAGCGUGCGUAGGCGGUUUGUUAAGUCUGCUGUGAAAUCCCCGGGCUCAACCUGGGAAUGGCAGUGGAUACUGGCAAGCUAGAGUGUGUCAGAGGAUGGUGGAAUUCCCGGUGUAGCGGUGAAAUGCGUAGAGAUCGGGAGGAACAUCAGUGGCGAAGGCGGCCAUCUGGGACAACACUGACGCUGAGGCACGAAAGCGUGGGGAGCAAACAGGAUUAGAUACCCCAGUAGUCCCUGUCUCUUAUAC